GGGGGUGCUUUGGUUUCGACAGGAUUCCAGAGGCGCUAGUUGCAUGCCGAGGUGGGCUGGCCUCGUAAAAAGCCCAAAAAACAUAAGUGCCGAUAAUUACGAUUACGCACUCGCUGCCUAGUUGCAGCGCCGCAACAUGACCCUCUCCUGCUGGGAAAUGACCUGCGGACGUAAUGCGGGAUAGGGUUUUGCGUUUGCCUUGGCGCAAAGCCUGAAACUCCAAGGCUAGUUUUUGCUGUGCGCCAACCUUUACGGGCGUUUUCAAAAGCGAAACCUUAAAUUCAAAGGAAACGCAUGUAUGAGCGACCGCCAACGGGAUUUUGGACAGGGGUUCGACUCCCCUCACCUCCAUAU
This 354-nucleotide transfer-messenger RNA is filed under the name Candidatus Fibrimonadaceae bacterium. It matches the Rfam family "transfer-messenger RNA". Rfam says of the family: Bacterial tmRNA, also known as 10Sa RNA or SsrA, is named for its dual tRNA and mRNA-like properties. Its role is to liberate the mRNA from a stalled ribosome. To accomplish this part of the tmRNA is used as a reading frame that ends in a translation stop signal. The record is from RNAcentral. Lineage: Bacteria; Pseudomonadati; Fibrobacterota; Fibrobacteria; Candidatus Fibrimonadales; Candidatus Fibrimonadaceae.